RNAcentral lists this transfer RNA (97 nucleotides) under Burkholderia diffusa. RNAcentral's name for it is "tRNA-Asn". The record is from RNAcentral. Lineage: Bacteria; Pseudomonadati; Pseudomonadota; Betaproteobacteria; Burkholderiales; Burkholderiaceae.
CGCGAUCCAUGGCGGGCGCCGCGUGCGCGCACGCUGUUCACGCGUCCGGCGACGUCGCCGCGGCGCACGCUGCUGUUCCGUCUCGGCGCGGUCGUGG